Clupea harengus (Atlantic herring) is the source of this 477-nucleotide long non-coding RNA. RefSeq lists it as uncharacterized. Lineage: Eukaryota; Metazoa; Chordata; Actinopteri; Clupeiformes; Clupeidae. The transcript is spliced from 3 exons. The record is from RefSeq and is a predicted model, not a curated record.
UUUCUCCUCCCUCUCUCUCUCUGUCUCUCUCUCUCCUCCCCCUCUGUGUAUAAGAGACCUCUCCCCCUCCAACAGUCAGCUCAGUUUCUGGGAAAAACCAAGCGACAGAGAGACACGGAAGAAAAGAGGGAACGCAGCAGUAACUGCCUAGCUUCUCUCAUUUAUUCAUUCAUUCAUUCACACUCUCAGCACAGCCUCUCUCCAUCUCUCCACCUCUCCACUCCUUCCCCCCUUUCCCCUCCUUCCUUACAUCCAUUUCCCUCUGUCAUCCCUCUUUCUCCUCCUUCUUCCCCCCCUUUUUCUCUUUUUUUUCAUCCCUUCAUCUGCUCCGGUUGUUUGUCUUGGCUAAGUACUUGGCUGAGUACUUGUCAGAUGGGGUGUGGAAAUUCCACAGCGACCAGCACAGGAGGAGGCCCUGCAGAGGGAUCCAAGGAUGCGACAGAGGAGUCGUCACCUGUCGAAGAAAAAAGGAAGCAC